Molecule: small nuclear RNA, 176 nt
Filed under: Klebsormidium nitens
Lineage: Eukaryota; Viridiplantae; Streptophyta; Klebsormidiophyceae; Klebsormidiales; Klebsormidiaceae
Description: U2 spliceosomal RNA
Rfam family: U2 spliceosomal RNA
About the family: U2 is a small nuclear RNA (snRNA) component of the spliceosome (involved in pre-mRNA splicing). Complementary binding between U2 snRNA (in an area lying towards the 5' end but 3' to hairpin I) and the branchpoint sequence (BPS) of the intron results the bulging out of an unpaired adenosine, on the BPS, which initiates a nucleophilic attack at the intronic 5' splice site, thus starting the first of two transesterification reactions that mediate splicing.
Source: Rfam by way of RNAcentral
CAACCAUUUCGCCUUCGGGCUAAGAUUGGUUGUAGUAUCUGUUCUAGAUGGCUUGAUAGGUCAUCUCCUUUCUCCUAUCAACAAUUUUUUGGGGCAGGCGGGGGACACCAAGCUUGCUUGGCCCCCGCCAGUGUCGCCUCUGCCUUUGCACUAACCGCAGAGGAGGGCACAGCCCA